UACGGAGGAUCCAAGCGUUAGUCCGGAAUCAUUGGGUUUAAAGGGUCCGUAGGCGGUUUUAUAAGUCAGUGGUGAAAUCCGGCAGCUUAACUGUCGAACUGCCAUUGAUACUGUAGAACUUGAAUUAUUGUGAAGUAACUAGAAUAUGUAGUGUAGCGGUGAAAUGCUUAGAUAAUUACAUGGAAUACCCAUUGCGAAGGCAGGUUACUAACAAUAUAUUGACGCUGAUGGACGAAAGCGUGGGGAGCGAACAGG
RNAcentral lists this ribosomal RNA (255 nucleotides) under uncultured bacterium. Its description in RNAcentral is "partial 16S ribosomal RNA". It matches the Rfam family "Bacterial small subunit ribosomal RNA", at positions 524 to 776 of the family's 1533-position model. The record is from RNAcentral.